RNAcentral lists this non-coding RNA (431 nucleotides) under Cryptosporidium parvum. Lineage: Eukaryota; Apicomplexa; Conoidasida; Eucoccidiorida; Cryptosporidiidae. The record is from RNAcentral.
GGGUAAACUUGAAUUAUUUUCGUAUAGGCAAUCCCCACUAUUAAGCGCGUUUAGGAAAAAAAAAGAAUAAAAUAUUUUCAGAUAAUCUUAUAAGUAGCAUUAUUUUCUAUAGAAAUAGCGAUUUAAUAAAUGUGUUCCAAUGUGGAGUUAGUUUAAUAUCAGAAUAUGAAUCAUUCUCUUGAAGAAUUCCUUCGUCACAUUGUUCGAACGUAAUAAAAUUGUCAAGGUCAUCAUCUAUUUCCUUAAUAUUACAAUGAUUAUUUCUUCUAUUAGACCCUGACUGAUCUAAGCUAUUGGGGUCAACCCAAUUAGAACUUAUUAUAUUAUGUAUGUAAUCGCAUUCUCUUAACAUAUCAUUACAAUCUAAAAUUGUCAUGCUCCAUACUUCAUUUGAUGAUGUGCAUUUUAAUUCUAAAUUUCCUGAACCGUUA